GGGGCCGUAGCUCAGCUGGGAGAGCGCUAGAUUUGCAUUCUAGAGGUCAGGGGUUCGAUCCCCCUCGGCUCCACCA
RNAcentral lists this transfer RNA (76 nucleotides) under candidate division WOR-1 bacterium RIFOXYB2_FULL_48_7. Its description in RNAcentral is "tRNA-Ala". It matches the Rfam family "tRNA". From Rfam's summary of the family: Transfer RNA (tRNA) molecules are approximately 80 nucleotides in length. The record is from RNAcentral. Lineage: Bacteria; Bacillati.